Oncorhynchus gorbuscha (pink salmon) is the source of this 290-nucleotide long non-coding RNA. RefSeq lists it as uncharacterized. NCBI's taxonomy places the organism in Eukaryota, Metazoa, Chordata, Actinopteri, Salmoniformes, Salmonidae. The record is from RefSeq and is a predicted model, not a curated record. The transcript is spliced from 3 exons.
GGAGGGACAUGGUGGAGGAGCAGAGUGGAGGAGGUGGACGGCAGCCUCGUCAAGAUCCUCUUCCUGGAUGACAAGCGUAGUGAGUGGAUCUACCGCGGUUCAACCAGGCUGGAGCCCAUGUUCAACCUGAAGACCAACUGUGCCAACACCCAGGAGAAGAAGAUGGCUGGCCAGCAGAGGACACGCCCCAGCAUGGGAGCAUUGAGGACCAAGGGCCCCGUGGUCCAGUAUCACAGUGGGGGGAACACCAUAACCCCCAGUGGGACCCCACUAAAUCCCCCAUCCCCUCU